This 231-nucleotide ribosomal RNA is filed under the name uncultured bacterium. RNAcentral describes it as "partial 16S ribosomal RNA". It matches the Rfam family "Bacterial small subunit ribosomal RNA", at positions 567 to 796 of the family's 1533-position model. The record is from RNAcentral.
UGUGUGUAGGCGGGCUUGUAAGUCAGUGGUGAAAUACUGCCGCUUAACGGUAGGGUUGCCAUUGAUACUGCAUUUCUUGAGUUUGGAUGAGGUAGGCGGAAUGUGUGGUGUAGCGGUGAAAUGCAUAGAUAUCACACAGAACACCGAUUGCGAAGGCAGCUUACUAAUCCAUGACUGACGCUGAGGCACGAAAGCGUGGGGAGCGAACAGGAUUAGAUACCCUGGUAGUCC